Molecule: non-coding RNA, 21372 nt
Organism: Xyrichtys novacula (pearly razorfish)
Lineage: Eukaryota; Metazoa; Chordata; Actinopteri; Labriformes; Labridae
Source: the annotation of a GenBank genome assembly
GUACAAUUUACACCGGGUAGUUUCAGACAAGACAUCGGAUGGCUGACUCCACCCGGGUGUCAGAGUGGCCCGGUAUUAAAAAGAAGCUCAACUUCUGAUAAGGUAAGUUUAGUAAGAAACGAAACUUUUGCCGUGGAUAAGAAAAAAAAAUUCCCAAUAUGCACACAUAAUAAUAAUAUUUAGGUUUUACAGUAAGUCCUGUCUUCCAGAAAUGUAUGAACCAGUUUACAUUUAUAAUUUUUCUGUGUAUUCAUUAUGUUAUUAGAGAUUUUUGUGUGGAGUAUGAGCCAUACCAGACAAGGAUGUAAGCCCUUGCUGGACAUGCAUGUAAACACUGUAUAAGCUCUUUUUUGUAUUGCAGCGUGCUAUAAAACGAGAUCAUUUUCACUAAAUGAAAGAUUAAUCAUAAUAUGAUUUAGUUAUCACAAAAUGGACUCACGUUUUGGUGAAAUCUGAGUAGGCCUACCUUAUUAUUAUUGUUCUCGAUCACACAAGGUUAUAUGACCUGCAGUGAACACAGGCUGUAGUUUGCUUGCCUUUCAACUAUUUAUCUAAUAUUCGUAAUACCUGCACUUUUGAAAGGUGCCAGGACUGAAAAAAGUUUGAGAAACUUUGAUCUACACUACAACUUCCUUUUGCCCCUGCACGUUUUUGCACAUUUAUCUUAAAUAAUAAUGUGAAAGUUAGAGCUUAUUAGGGAAAGGGCAGGGCACACCACACAAUCUGCCAUGAAGACAAAAAGAGAGGGUGCGCUUCAUCCACCUUUUAGCACAAAAGGAGCCCAGCGUGAUAGGUGGCACAGUAAUCAUCCAGUCUUGAUUUUAUUUUAUUUAUUUAUUUUUUUUUUAAUAAAUUGUGCUGCCACCAAGGACGGUCAAACAGAUUUCAAUGUCUGGACACACCCUGCUUGAAAAAUGUGCAUGUAAUGUUUCUUUGAUACUUGCCUGUUUUGUACAGAGUGAAGAGGGAGUAGAGCAGUGUUGUAGAGGAGUAGUUUUUUGGAAUAUGAAAGUAAAACUAAAUUGCUUUACAGGAAUCAAUAAUGCUGUAUAUUUCAGUGCAUAUUCGGGACUCACUCUGAAUUUUGACAAAUAACAGAGGUACACACUGGUAAAUUUUUUAUUCAUACCCCUGACUAUUGUUAUCUAUGAUUUGUAUUCAAAUCUCUCCAUCCCUCCAUCAUUUACUCCUCCUGAUAAAAUGUUGUUGUUUCAUGUUGUUUCUGGUGGUCAGGACAUAAAAUGGUAGCUGUACACAAUCAUGGUUGUGUCUGCGGACGUGUAGUAGGAGCUACUUUAUUUCUCACAUUAGGGGCUAAACAUGUAUCCUCCUGCUUUUAGACGGCUACAGAGAUUUAAUAAACAAAAGGAGAAACUUCAUGAAGUAUGAAGCAUCUGCUGAAGACAGAUUCUGAAGAAUAAAAAUAAAUGGAGACUGAUAUAUCAGCAUUCCUAAUCGAUUAAAAAACUGUUUAAAAACCUAAUUCAAGCACAUAUAUCAGAGAGUGUUUAUCAAUUCUUGAUCUCAUCACCAAUAAGAAUUUUCUCUGAGGCUGUGAAAAUGGUUUUAGAUGAGUAGAAGGUUGCUGAUCAUUUUUCUAAGAUCUCUGACACAUUUUUCUCCUGAAAUUACUAACACUUUUUGUGCUGUCUCCUUUGAAUUAACCUCUUUUCCUACCUGUGUGCCAAUUGCUUUGGGAUUAGCUCUAAAAUAACAAAAAGGCAGGCUAGGCUAAUUUCAGGAUCAGAAAAGAAAAAAAUAUUUUAAGUGCUCCCUGUGCUUUUUUCCAACAAAAUAAGCCCUCACUUUCUACAUCUCUUCCCUGGACGACAGAGUCAGAUUAUGAGUUUCCUUGUGCUAAUUAUGAGCUGUUUGAAAAUAAGUUCACUGAGACAUUUUAUUUUGUACCAAUAAAAGGUUGGCUCUUACCUACUGCUGCUAGGGCUAAGAACUGUAAAAUCGUAAAACAUCUGAUAAAGUUUUGCCUUAAUGUUAAACUGCCUCCAGAGAGUGGAAGUCACUCUGUGUCACAAGUCUGUUGAAAUCUGAUUUAUUUUAUCAGUAUGACUAAAAAUUAAUAAAGUUUGCUGUGAUUUUGGAUUAGUAAUUGCUUGCAUUAAAAAAGUACAAAUCAAACAAACAAACAAAGGAAGUUCUAGUUUCAUGUUAACAAUCAAGUUAUACACCAAGAAAGCAAAAAUUAAGCCUGCCUGAUACCAAAGACAAUAAACAGAUGAAUUUAGCUGCAAUAACUCCAAAGUAUGAUAAAAUUACAACAUUUUUGAUGCGGAGCUGUAAAUUUAAAUGCACAAAUUCUUUGUUGCGGUUUCACUGAAUCAAAAAGUCAGAUGUCAAGUUAAGUCUGGCUUGUUCAACUAUUUGAGCCAUUUGCUAUGAUUUCAAAACAACAAAUGGUCAGACAUGUAAUGAGCACAAAGUAAAAGUAUAAAAAUGAAUAGUCCUGGUUUCACUGUAUCUAUCGACUAGCACCCUGGUUCAAAUCAUACAAAGUUUCUUCUUUAAACAUAUUUUGGUCCUACAUAAUUGCAAGCCUGAAGUCAACUUAGAUUACAGUUAUUCAGAAGCAAUCAAUGGUUUCAAAGAGUGCUGAAAUGUCAACACAGUUCAGAUAAAACAAACAUACAGUUAGCUUCACUGAAACAUAAACCCAGCUGGGUUGGUUGUGUAGUCUAAAGUAAAUAACUAUGUUUCUGAUUUUACUGCAGGCCAUGAAUAUGGCAACUAAAAAAUAAUUCAAAUCCAAUAAAUGGCUCUAAAAGAGGCUGAAUUAUGAGCAAAAUACAAACACAACUUCCAGUUUAUAAAUGGUCCUUGCUUCACUGUAAAAGACAGGUUCCAUUGGACUCACAUUUUGCCCACCAAGUGCCAUAAAGCUCAGAUGAACAAAUUCAGCCGUGAUCCUACAGCAACAAUAGUCAAUGAAAAACUCAAUGACCAUUGAGUGUUUAAGUACAAAUGAGGAGCACACAAAUGCUGAGUCACAGUUUCACUGCAUUAAGCAGGUCAUGGUGAAGUUGGUGUCUUCUAUUCUUUUAAAAUUACUUUUUUUUCCCGCUACCAGCUACUAUCUUUUUAAAAACCCAUUAUAAAAAAAAGAAACCAAAAAACUUAGAUUCUUACAUCAAGAGCUUUGCUGACAGAUGAAACACUUUGGUUGCAUUUGAAAAACAAGAACACAUGAGCAUUGCACUCUAUAAAACCAAAGGAUAAAAAUGAACAUUUUUUUUCUAUUUGACACAUUCAUACUGGUUGCUGCAUCUCCUUGACAAAAAGUCAUUUUUGUCAUAUGCAACAUGUCAGAGAUUCACUGCUAUAGAUAUUAUUAAAUGUAUUAUUCCACAUGCCUGUCACAUGCUUUCAAAUGGAGAAGCUCUUGGGAUUCAUAUUUCACUGACUGCACCUUUAACCUCUGAAGGUGUCUCAUCUGCUCUAUCUUUUUGCUUUAUUCCUCUGUGUGCUUUGUCCUCCAGGCCAGGCCCAAAUCACCUCCAACACACACACACAAACACAAACACACACUCAACCCCACUCCAUGCACUGUAUGCAUGAGUGGUGUCCACUGAACUCUGGCUAUGCCACAAGAGAGCUCUGCUUCUGAGAAAAGUGAGAGUGAAAGAAUGAUUCACUCAGUGUCUCCCCUACACACACACACACACACACACACACACACACACACACACACACACAUUCAGAACAAAAGCAAAACAAAAAAAAACACUCCCUAGGACCACACUGCAGGGCAGAGCUUGUAAAACACAAUGCAUCAGUUUGAGUUUUAUUUAUGUGAAUUUCUCAUGUUUGACUUGUCAGCCCUUAUACUGCUCUGACCAUCAUAAACCACAUUACAAGUGAACGCUCUUUGGAUGACAUUACCACGGGCAAAGACAAAGAAAUAUGAACCAAACUGCUUGGAAAUCCACUAGAAAUGGGAGGCAAACAACUCUCAUGCACACAACAUUACUGAAAGAACUACAAAUCUACCAGUCCCCUGCAAACAUCAGAGAAGAAAAAAACAGCAUAUCUCUGUUUUAAUACCCCUUAAGAGAAAUCAUAUUCAACAUGGGGUUUGUUAUCUUGUUUAGAUGUUACUUUGCAGCUUUUUAUUCACCUAAAUUUUAUUAGUACUGGUCUGCAAAAAAUUAUUUUAGCCCAAUUCCACUGGAGUUAAAACAUUGCAUAAAUAGCUGAUAAAAACAGAAUUUGAUGAUUUGCAAAUAAUUUAAACCCCUUAUUUAACUCAAAACAGAGCAAAGACAGCAAAUGUUUACACUUUAUUUUUUGAUAAAAUAUAUAUGCUUAUUUUAUUUAUGAUGCCAGCAACACAUUUAAAACAGUUAAGGGACAACAUAACAGUUAAAAAAGUUGUGCUAAAAUUUUCAGUGAGGCUGAGUCUUUCAGAGAGAAAGAUGGAAAGAGGCUCAGCACUCUGUGAGUUACUAUGUGAACGAAUACCUCAACAGUACCAGUAAAAUGGAUUUCAUCAUCCAGAGCACAAAACAUCAUUAAAAGAUUCAGAGAAUCUGAAAAAAUCUGUGUAUAAAAACAGGACUCAGUCUUGGAAAUUACUGUAUGGAUUUAAAAUCACUUCCAAGAACCACUGUCUGUGAACACACUUCAUCACUGCAACUAGAGAUUCGGGUUAAAACUGCACCAUGCAAAGAGGAAAACACAUUGCCCUGUGGUCUGACCAAUCAAAGUCUGAUAUUCUUUGUGGGGGAAAAAAAGCCAGUUCACUAAAAAGAAGAGGGACCAUUUGGCUUGUGCACAGCUAUAAACCAGCAUCUCUGAUGGUAUGGGGAUAUAUAAGUGUCCAUGUCAGUGUCCAUGGGUAGCUUCCAUACCUGUGAAGGCUCCAUUAAUACUGAACAAAAUCUACAGGUUUGAGAUCUGCUGUCAUCCAGACAAUGACUUUUUCAUGGAAGACCUUCAUAUUUCAGGAAGACAAUGACAAACCACAUUCUGCAGGGAUUACAACUGCUUGUCUCUGUAGUAGAAGAGUCCUGCUGUUUAACUUGCAUUAUGCAUCAGCAUCAUAUUGGUGUCCUGGUAUGUCAUGUCAUGUCCUAUCAUAGUAUUGAAGAAGCAUUAGAGGAACAGCAUGUAAACACACAGCAAGGCACACACUCUGUGAAUAACACGUUGUAGAAUCAACACAAGAGCCUAAAUUCCUUAUCUUAACUUUUCUUACCUGCCUGAGAAGUGUUUCCUGACCAAAAGUGACCCUGCAUUCAUGCAACUUUUGAAUGUAUUGCAUGAGAAAAAAUGGCUGCCAUGGAAACUCAAAAGGACAAGACAAAGAAACUCCUCUUAAGAUCUGUAAGUGCCCUCGUUUGGCUUUCAACAAAAACAAACAAACAGAAAAAAAAGGUUAAAAAGGUACAUGUAAGAGAGGACAGAAAGGAAAGCCAACACGUAAUCAUUGAGAGCAACAGAAUAGACGUCAGGAAUUACAGUUUUGUAUUUCUAACUCAGUGAGUAUGACACACAAUGAGUAUCAUUUCUGGAAGGUUUAUUGCAAGGUUGCAUACACAGAACAGCUUCUCUGUGAAAAAAAAGACCAAACUUGGAACAAAACAGGAGAUUUAAGGCUAACACUCCUAUUUUGACUUAAAGAAACAGGUGUGUUCUCAGGGUGAAGUAACAUCGUUGAUGAAAAACAAAGCUACAUGCCUUUUCAGGAGAUUUUUUUGUACCUAAAAUCACCAGACUUUUUGAUUCUUCUAGCCAAAGUAGAUGAUAAAAGAUUCCAGACGAAUGAAUUUCCCUUUGGGGAUCAAUAAAGUUCUUGUAUUGUAUUGUAUUCUUGUAUUUUAAAGCCAUCAGGUGAGUCAAAUACCUGCUUGAACCUGGCAAGAAAACAAAUUGGGUCAGCCCUCUGAAACAGAACACUGAACAUCACAUCAAUUUUACCGUUUGUAAAGAGCUGGCAAAGGCCCUGCAGCUACCAGAGCAAAAUUCAAAUAAUGUCAUGAAGUAUGUCUAAGAAUUGUCAUUUUCAGGGAACAAAAUAGUCAGUGGUGGGUAUUUUUCUAGUUCUACUUUGUGCCAGUGUGUGUGGGCGAGUCAAAGGAGACUCAGUGUGACAGAGUCUAACUGAGAAGCACUUCUGCCUCUCAACAGAAACAAUAAAGGAGCUCCUCGGUAUCUCCUGUGGCACGCGGGGGCCAUUUGUUUUUGUCACAGGGCUGCUCAGCACCCUGCUAAUGUGCUUCCAGGAUGCUGCUUUCGGCUUUUCCCUCGAGGCGGAAAUCCAUCCUAAUUAUUCACAUUUUGAAGUGAGUUCCGUGGUGGAGACCUUCUCCCACAGUGCAGCCAGCGUCACAUACAUCUUAAUAACUCACCACCCUGAAAACUGCUGCCAGUCUGCUACACACUCCCAACAACUCUUUGUAAAACCAGUACAGAGUGUGUGCUAUUUAUUUAUAGAGGUGUGUGUGCGCAUACGCGUGUGCAUGGGAAUAUUGAAUCUUUCCUGUACUGUGUAGUGAGUUCAUGAAUCUACGUUGUAGAGCACAAGAGUGUGUAUGAUUUAACCACUAUAAGACAGGCAAUACGUGUCAUGAUUUAUUGCAGGCCUUAGUGUGUGUCAUUCGCGAACGAUUCGUCCAAAAGAACCGAGUCUUUUAAGUGAACGUACUGAACCGAAUCACUUCCUCGAGUGAUUCAUUCAUUUCUCACUUCAGUUGAGCUGAAGUGAGAAACAGCAUUGCAAGGCCAGCAGCCGGCGAACGAGGAACCACAUGCACAUGCACCGAUGCCUGAAUCACUUGGUGAACGAAUCACACAUUGAGCUACACUCUCUGGAAUCAUUUUUGUCGGGCAAAACUACCUUUUUUAUUUUAUUUUUUACUGCUAAAUUGCCACCACAACAACUUGCAUACAAUAGGACACAGCAUGUAAACAAAUAGUGCAGUAAACCCGCAGCAUCCUAUCGUGGCAGCGGUUUGCUAGGGAAACGGUGCAUGUUCAGUGUGAUUUCCUCUAAACGUACGCUGAACAAAUCGCUCACUGAGCCCAAUUUACUGAGCAGACCUGAUAAAUGGCAUACAAUAGGACAGUACACUUAAAACAUCAUGACCUUUGCCAAAGCAACACAGCCAAACACUAUCGUCUCCCAGUCCCAGAAACUAUGAAUUGAACUGAAUCCUGAAACAUUCAGCUGUGUAUCAGUUCAGCAGGUCGGGGUCGCAGGCCUCUCCUGCCAGGUGUUAAGUGAUUUGGUGAACGAUUCUUUUCAAGGAAUCUUUUUAGUGAACUGAUUCUAGUGAUUCAGUACAUUUAAAAGAACUGCCAUGCCCAUCACUAGCAGGCCUCUUACUACAUUGUCCUGUUUAAAUACAUAUUUUUACACUUUACUGGAUUUCAUCUCAUGCCAAGUAUAAUAAUUUCAGCAGAGGCCCUACAUUUUAAAAGAUGGGGAUUUAGGUAGAGCUGUGUGCUUGGUCAAAUUACAAUUUUAAUUAUCAUCAUGGCUCCCCGUGAUCAUAAAAAUAUAAUAACCUAUACCGGACAAUCUGCCUGCAGCAUCCUGCUCACAAUGUCCUAUAAAGUGAGUGAAGUGCACCCUGCAUCUCUGCCUUUACAGCAAACAGGCAUUAAAGGUCUCCAUCACUACGACAGAUCUUCAUCAUUCAGAAAAAUAAUGGAAAAUAAAAAAAGUGCACAUGUUUUUGUUGUAGUCCCAUUAAGGCUUCCAGUCUAACGAUUACAAAAUAACCGAAUUAACCUUCUAUACCUCUCACUUGGGUCAUUUUUCUUCACAAGCCACAAUACAGCUGUCAUUUUUUUACAGCACACCCCUCAUGCUGCUUAUGAGUAAAUAAUGAUGUAAUCCGACUUUGACAGCUAUUGAUAGCAUUAUAUCAUGAUCAAACCAGCGUGAAAUUUGAGGUAUGGAUGCUAAGACGAGGUACAUGAAUACCCAAGGAGCUGGAUAUGAGUGAGGGAGGUAAUAGAGUGGACACAAGUGAAUCGGAUCAGGUGGACAUUUGUGAGGAGAAUUAAAAAGCCCAAAUUACUAAAUGCUAAUAAAGAUAUUUAAACAUUUAUUUUUACAAGCCUCCAUCAUGACCUCAAGAAUAGAUGAAAAUUAACCAACUCCCUCACUUCUAGAAAUUAUAUAUUUGCAUUGCUGAUGCUGUUGGUUAGUAGUCUUUUCUUUUAAACACAAAUUAGUGCAACACACCUUCUUCGGGAGAGUUGUAAUUGAUCAGUUCCAGCUAAUUCAGCAUGCCAGCAUUGACACGUAAUUUGUCAAAAAGCUCUGAUGUUUGAGACAUUGAAAAAAAUGGUCAAAAAUAAAUGGAGAUGGGCUUAGCUGAGUGAAGUGGGGGACAAUGCAAAACCUGUCAGUUCAUGGUGCAAAAAAUUAAACUGCCUGGGGUGUGCAUGUGCGUGGUUUGCCACAGAAAAAAAUUUAAACAUCCUAUACAGCAGUAACAGCAAAAAAGUGCUGAUGUGCCAUCAGUCGGAAAAUGCACACAAAGCUGCCGUUCUUGCUCUGCUGCACACCACCUCUCUGCCCGGUGCUACAACCACCACAACAGAAGCCUACAUAUCUAUGGCUGACUGUGUGUGCAAACAGAAAGUCUGCAUAUGUGACUUUAUAGUGGAGCAUCACCAGUCUCUAACAAUGUCAAGGCCACUAGUUGAGCAAGUGAAGUCGGUUGCUGAGGAUCAGAGUGCACAGCAUUUUGUCUGUAAACUACAGGAGGUUGUUGCCCAACACACGCUUGUAAAAAAAACUCCAUGUUUGAAUGGGAAUUGCAAAAAACAUCACUCCAACUUCACUGUAGAUUUUUCAUGCCAGCCCUUUAGCAUAAUUUCAAAGUGAGGUCAGAAGGAUGUGUGUGAGAGUGCAGCAGAUAAUCUCAGAAAAUAGACUCUGAGGUUUCUUGUGAGUAAAUAGAAACUUAAAAACUAAAAAGAACAAACCACCCUGUUAUAUAAUAACCAUUAUGUUUUGCAUAUCAAACCCUUUGGUCUGAUAUGCAUACCAGUGUGAAGGGGCGGUUCACUGGUGCUUACAACCUUAUAACUUAAACUCUUUUUCUGUGAUCAAUAGAUAAGAACACAACAACUUCUGAAGCUGCAAACACAUCUGCAAUCAAGGCAUUUACAUCUUUUCAACAACGUGGAUAUACUCAUAAUAUUAAUAUUAUUGCUGCAGUCAUAGCCGUUGUUCUCUGUGUGGGUGAUCUAAUGUCUCCUGUUGAGAAUGAAAUUAACUGAGCUAAUUUAUUUAAAGAUAAGUUAAAUUGGCUCUUACUCAAAGUUUUUUUUUUAAUAAAUGUUGAUUAAACAAUGACUUUCAAAUAUUUACAGCCUUUAUUCCUCCAAUAACCCCAUUUCCACAAUUGCCUUUUAUUGCUUUUGUUAAUUUUUUUAUUGCUUUUGUGACUCGUUCACAUCAUUAUUGCCUUUAACCUUUGUAAUUGUAUUUUUUAUUCAUGUUUAUUUCUUACAUUUCUUUAAUUGUUUAUACCCUUGUUGUUGCUUUUGUUUCUUCCUGUUUCAUUUGUUUUUCUCUUGUUUUUCCCCGCAGCUGCUGUUUCCUCUCUGCUGUAUUUAAACUGCUUCUUUUUGUACCUCUUGGUUUCAGUCCAUGUGUUGGGCUUGUCUGAUGCUUGGGUCAUUUCGCUUUGUUAAUGUGUCAAAGUUCAUUUUAAACUCUCAUUUUUAAAGGGAAAUAUAAGCGUUUUUAAAGUGAGGAUGAAUGUGUUACAUGAAAGAGUAUUAGCUACCAUGGGUAUGGGUCAGCUCCGCCCCUUAAAUGAUAAACUGCAAGGAUACAGUAACUUGUACGCAAGCUAGGCUACAGGCUUUUUUUGCAGACAUUGCAGACUCUGCCAUGUCAAUGAGCUAAUUUUAAAAGAGACCCUGACUCAAGCACUCAUCUCAGUUUGAAAACAUCUUCAGCACUUCGCUUUGCCAUCAGAAAAUCCAUUUAAUUUUGCAGCAUUUAUAGACGCAGCACACACAUCCAUAUGCAGCAUGAUUAGCUCAUCGGGGACAACAGUAUACUAGAAACUGAUAUAUCGAAUAUUUUGACAUUUUUGCAUAAUGUUAAUCAUUGUAUGCCUCAGACUAACCUGCUGACACAGUGAUGUUUGUAGAGUUUAACAUUUCAGCUCAGUCUUCCCCCUUUAGCAGCUUCAGUGUGUUUUGAUGAGGUUAAAAGUAUCCUGUGGACCAUGAAUUGUGUCAUUAUGCUGAAAAAAACAAAAAAAAACUGAGAGGUCACAAAGUUCUGUGGUAGAUUUGUUUUUCUGUUUCCAAAAGCAAUGCAGAGACAGCAUUUCAUAUUUUAUGCUUUUGUUUUAUCACAUUCCUUUGAUCGUUUAUCCUGUUGGUCAGACAGCCAAAGGGUGGUUGAUUGUGCCAGCACAGAAAAUAGAAAGUAUUAAGCAAUAAAUCUACAAACCAGAGUAAAGUCAGUGGAUAAACAAUCAUUAAGAAGGCCUACGCAAGCUAUGUGAAAUGCAAAUGCUCCAGUGUUACCCUGACUGUCAUUGCAGACUGCUGCCUUGUGUGAACUGCUGCUAUAUUUUGAAACCUAAAGAUCCAUAAGUGCUUUUUUCACCAAGUUUCACUUCUAACAGGCAGUAGUUUUCUCUGUCUGUCUGUGACACUCCCAUCUAUAAAAGUGUCUAUGUGUUCACAGUAUACAGUAUGUUAUUGGCCCAGUUAGAUACACUCAUCAACGCUGAUCUGAAAAGAUGAUCAGUGCAUUCAAAGCAGAAGAGCACGUCUUUGUGUUGCCAACAGUGCGAAAACAAACAGAUUUCUGAUGGCGAAGUGCUAAAAAUUUCUCAGCAGAGCGUACAUUGAGUGCCUGAGUCAGGGUCUCUCCAAAUUAGUUUAAUGAUGUGCUAGAGUCUUCCCAGUCUGCAGAAAGCUGUAGCCUAGCUUGCAUUCUGGUUCUCCUGGCUAGAUUCUCACUAAAGUGACAAAACUGACUUAGGGUGACCACACGUCCUCUUUUACCCGGACAUGUCCUCUUUUUGGGGGGCUGUGCGGGGUGUCUGAUCUUGUCCAGGGGGGAGUUUAUAGAAUCCUCUAAAUGUCCAGGGUUUUGUAUGGAAAUUUUGAUUUAGUGUAGCGUGGACUAACUAAGUUAGAAGCACAUAAAAAACAUAAGACCCGACCCCAAAAAAAACCUCCAAAUUUUUCGUGCGACUUUGUUUCCACCUGCGUAGAAGUGUCCUCUUUUUGGGGAUUCAGAAUAUCGUCACCCUAACUGACUAGCAUCCAUUGACACUGAUAAUAAAAAUAGUUGGUAUGCGAGUAACAUUACUAUAAAGACUCUCACAAUGUCCUCAAGUAGCUGCCUUCUCUAGGGGCAGACUUUACAUUAUUUUAAAUUCUGUACUCUAGUCUUGCUUGAGCAGUAAUUCGUGCAAACACCCCAACAUAUGUAAAGAAUAGUUAGGCAUGAUUAAAAUGUGUAGACAAGGUUAAAAAAAAUGUCAAGUAAAAGUAAAAUCAAAAUGUAUUUUUAAGAGAAAGUGGUGUAGUCAGUACGCGUGUCAGAUGACGGUGAUAGAAAGUGUGCAUCUGUGGAUUUGUGUGUAUGUGUGUGUUGUGGUAGGUUGUAGUGUGUAGUCUGUGUGUAUGUGUGUGUGUGUGUGUGUGUGUGUGGACUCCAGGUAAUUUAUUGGCAGGGUGUUCAAAAGAAAUGGCUCUGAAUUAUUCACUUUUUCUCUCUGAAGAAAGAUGAUUUUUUCUCUCUCUCUCUCUCCAGGCUUUUAGGGUCCAAAUUGAAUUCUCUGUGGGCUCAAUUGAUUAGAGCGAGGGAUAGUUUAAAAUAUUGAAAAAUCAAUUUUAGAUAGAACUUAAUGUGACGAUCGGUGCGGUAAAAUAAAACGAGAGGAGAUGCAGUAUGACUGAGAGUGCUGCAGCUUUGUGUGUGAGAGAGCGACUCACAGUCAGCUCUGUUGAAGACUCUCAGGAUGAUAAAGGCUUUCUUAAUUUAGCUCAGUCUUCAGAGAUGGACAUUUCAAUACGAGGAAUCAUAUCUACAGUCCUCUUAAGUGAAAGAUGAAAUAAAAAAGUAUCAUGCUCCGAGUACUGAAAGCUAAAUGAAGCUGAAGGUUUGUUGAUUUGACGAUGUUUUUAACAUUCAGGUGCAGUCUAGAUACUCACAAAGCUGCUGUUUCAUCUGCUUUUAAAGACAGAGAAUAUAAUAAAUACUGAUGGCUCUUUACUUCUAUUCACUUGAAACUUCUGUAUGAAGUUUUUGUGAAACAGACUAAAAGCAAUACAGAAGCCCCUUAUAACCUUCAAGAGGAAACAAAACCAUCAAUGAUAAAUAAUAAUGAAUUUUAAGUUAUGAUUUUUGAUGCCUAAAAGCUGUAAGGGGUGGAUGUUAGACCACAGGAUUGAUGGAUUGAUGAGUCACAUUCAAGCACACAAUGUGUGACACUUAACUUUGAAAAAGAAACCAGAAUUUUUCUUCUUUCAGAAAAAUCUAAUCUUAAGAAGUUCACUUUAUGAAAAGAUAAGUGAAGUAAAGGGAUGUAUACUUUACAUCCAUCCAGGUUAACAAAUGGAAACUCUGGGGUCUUUAGCAACGUAGUAGCUACAAGUCAGAAAACCCUAUUAUCUAGUGGUAAUUGGGAGGUCAAAUCUAACGGCCAUUGAGGCAAACAUCAAAAUCAUGACUUUAUUAUUAUUUUUUUUUACAGAGGCUGACAAAAUAACAUUUGAAAAAAAAAAUCAAAGUUAAAACUGGACACAAGGGCUUUUGAGACUGUUUUAAUCCCACUCUGUUGGAACAAACAAAUAUUCUAUAAUCAUUUUUUAACAUGCUCACUUAAUGAAAGAGAAGUAUUUGAGUUUUGAGUAUUUUAUCACUGUGAUUAACCCCACUUGGCUUUGGUGACAGAGGCAGCUCCUGCUGUUAGAGAGCACUAUGAACAGUGCUUACUACCCACUGCCACAUUACAGCUUUGUACGAUGUCAGAUAUAAUAAUCAAGAAAGAUGGUUUCAAAGUGAUGACUAGACUAAGGUAAGACAAUAAAUGAUCUGAUAUAUUUUGACACCUCCUGUCACAUGAUAGGGUUGUUCGUCCAGUUUGAUGGAGGCAAAAUGAGAGGACACUCACGGAAAACCUUCAGUUUUUUAUAUUCUCUAUCUCACAACACUGAUUGAUUUGUUUGCCUUACAAAACAUAAGAUAUGGUCUCUCAAUAGCCAUAAAUCAAAAUUAUAGUCUUGUUCUAGGCGAUAAUAUCUGACGAGGGGUUCAGUUAUCCGUGAUUGACAGAUAAUAUGAAGGUCUGAACCAGUUCAGCUCUCUACAUCCUCCAUUUUUCCAGAUAACUGUAUAACUUGGACAAGUCGGUUUCUCUGACCCAGCCAUUUAGCUUAACUGUGAGCCAGAGAGUUAAUGUCACACUAGCAGCAGUCAAAAUGAAUAACACUGCACAUGUGGACAAACAGCAUGUCAAUCCAGAGGAACAAGUUAAAGUUGAAAGGUAUUUUUAUAACAUUAUAUAUUAUAGAGAGGUUUGCAUAUUCAUGGGUGUGGAUGAUGAGACUGACAGGUAUUGUAGCAGUUUGACAUGAGAUGAAAAGUCCACCAAUGUACUGUGUGUGUACUUUGAUGUCACUGUGUAUGUGCACAGUCAAAGAGGUGAGGUUACAGCUUGAUUUUGCGAUUCAACUGGAGCACUUUUACGGUCUUUUUUCAGUCCAUAACUUAAAGAAAUUUGACUUUGACCAGUUUCAUUUGAAAUAAUGCAACAAAUUAAUGUUUUAUCACGGCAUGUAAACACACCAGCUAAGAAGAUGUCCUUGUUUUCUGCAGUCUACUGUUUAGAAAUGACCAUCUUUAGUCUUGAGUUUAAACUUCAAUCAACUGAGGUCUCUGUUUUCAGUAUUUCAUGGGUCCCCUAACUGAGCGAUACUACUGUUAGUGUAGCAAAAGACUUUCAAACACAUUAGAAAUACUUUGAUGUUUUGGCCCUCCAGGUGUAAAUCCCUGCAUUUCUCUGAUGUUCCACACAGUUUGCUCAUGACUUACACUGUACUAUGAUCUGUAGCAUACAUUUAGACCAAAAUAUUGAGCAAUUUGAUCUUUUUUUUUUUCUGUUACAGUCCUCAACGUUUAAAAUAGAUUAUAACUAUCGUUGUAAAUUUGGUAGAAAAAAAAGACAGCCAUGUUCACAGCAAUAAAUAACACCUGUGACACCCUAUGCAACACUCAGGACAUGGUGACCUUGACAUCCUGCAGCUACUUUAACAAAGAUCCUGACAGAAUGGUGGUUUUUAGAAUCACCUUAAAUAUAAUUGAUUUAAAGCUCUGACAAAAAGCCUGACAUCAAAUGUUUUAUCAUUUCUUGUCAAUGUGACAGUUUAUCUCACAUGUUUACCCAGCAUGCCUCAGGAUGAAAGCAGAGUGAGCACUUGGAUGUUGCUGUGCUUGUGAUUUGUGAUUUAAUAGCAAUAUACUGCACAGGAGAAAUCUGUUUGCCUUUUCCAGAUAAUCAAUUUGACAGAGACUAAACGAACUGAUUGAUUUAAAGCGGCGAGCAGCAGACACAGCUGCACCCUGAAACUUCAUCCAUCAGCGGGCACAAUUGCUUUCUUUGGCGUGUCGCAGGUACGACGUACUCCAUCACCUUCCACAAAGAGAGCAGUCUGACUAUCAGCUGCAGACUGCCGCACCAACAGCUCACUGUCUGAUAAACUCAGACACAAUCGGAGCAAAAUCUGGGUCAUUACUGUAAAAAUGUAAUUUACAAUGAUUAAAACAUCCAUGAUUUGACUAAAAGGCACGGAAACAAUUUAUUUGGAUGAAAACUCUGUUUUACCCAGAUUAACAUUCCACUCAUGAACGAUCAGUCUGAUCCUAUAUUUGUCGGGUUUUAAAACUUUAACAACACAAAUUUAUUUGAACAACAAUGACCACUUCUAAUCUCACUCUGUUCUAUCCAUUCUUCUACCAACCCAUCACACUCAGCCACCCAACUAUUAACAAAACACACUUGGUUCCUAUUAAUUUGUCUAUUCUGAGCUACUGUAGAAAAACAUUUAGACAAACUUCUGAAUGAUAUUUUUAUUUAUGUAGGAAAAUACUGCUGAAUUCUACACGAUCAAGGCACAAAGCUACUUGUGAUUUAAGCUCGGUAUUCUUUUUCAUACUACAGCUCAGAUGGGGACUUGAGAAGAGACCAUGUGCUCUAGCCAUUUCUGAUAAAUUAUACAUUGCAGGAACAAAGGACUAUUUUAGUUCCUAGAUCCCAUGUAGAGGAGCAUUGUAAGCUUUGAAGUAUGUAUUCCUCCAGCACAAGGGGGGGCUUUGAGCGGCUGAAGUGCACAUUGAUUGGUCCAUAAUGUGAGUGCAAGGCAAACACAAGAGCCAUUACAUCGCUUGUCAAUAAAAGUCAUGACAUUUAUUUAAGCUAAAUUACAACAAAUUCUACUCUGAAAUUUAUUUCAAAAUAUUUAACAAUUAAUAUUAUUAUUUUUUGUCUUUGCGGGUAUUUUUUAUUAACACUAGAACCACCGACAUUCCAAUCCCACUAAAACUGCCGAGGGGGGUUAUUUUAACCCCUUGCUCCAACAGCGUCAGUGACGUUACAAUGUCAUUUCUUGAAGAUGUCAGGUGACUUAUUCUCAUCUAUUUUUAGAAUAAUAAUGGAGACUUGGCAAGAUAAGUGUUUAAAAUGUAUAUUUUUGUAUUUUUUUUUCAACCCAAAUAAAUAAUUAUUUAAAUCAAAAAGGUAAAAUACAUUUUCAAAUUCAACAAACUGCAGGAACUGUUCAACAAAUAACAUAAUGAUUGAAUAAUAUAUUAAGAACAACAAAAUCACAGAUUUCUGUAAAAUAAUAAUAAUAAUAGUAUUUUUAGAAGAACAUAUAACAAGGCUUAAUUUGUAUGUUUUUACAUUCAUGAACAAGCUGUAGGAACUGCAAUUUAUUUUCAAUAACAAAAUAAUAUAUCUCUUGUGGCGCGAAAAACUAUGAGCGCUGCUUUGCAACUGGGAGUGGCACUGCGUGUAAAGUGACAGCUGUAAGCAGUGUUUUAUAUGAGGGAGUAAAAAUGAUAUAUAAGGUAUAAGUGUUCGUUUUAAAUUUAAUUUUAUCACACACUCACCAAAAUUUACUGAAUGAUUAAUAAAUCCAUUGCAGAAAAAGUCAUGGACUUUAAGAUGUGGGGGUUUAUUCCAACAGAAAUACAAGCAUUUGAAAAAACGCCAAGGGGGUUAAUAUUACCCCCUUGGCGUUUCUAGUGUUGAGGUUGAUGGUUGACCUCUGAAUAAGAGUCCUCCAACCUGGACCUGAAGUGGAUCUGUUUUUUUCUACUGCAGUUCAGUUUUUAUUAAAGUCCUUUUGUUUUUGCACAGAUAAACAAACAUUGACUCUCCAGCUCUGUUAGUUUACAGCCUCCACCUCUGUAUUCAGCAAGCUUUGUCGGCUCAUGUUGGUUUUAUAAAGCCCGUAUGAAAUGAGGUGUUUUCAGGUGUUAUCAGACAAAAUUACAGUGGCUGUUACACACAAAAAUAUCAAUUUCAGCACAUUGUUUGUCCCCCAGAAACCCACCUUCCUCCUGCAAUUUUCGCAAUUUGUAGAAUCUGAGUGAGUGAGCUCAGGACUAAAUAUAUUUGAGAUAAAUAAUGUUUCGUGCAGCAACUGUCAUGCAUCAGUUGUCACAGUGAGUCUCCAUCUGCAUAACAAAAAACCCCUGCCAAUUAGAUAGACGACUGGCAUUUCUCCCUGCAGCUAUCACUGUGAAACCACACUCCUCCCAAAAUAUGGAAAAUAUUUGGAUUUUCCAGGAAAUGGAUGCUGCCUCUCAUGUAUUAGAGGCCUGAAAAAUAAAGUUUGACUGGAUUACACUUGAAAUAAAUCACCCCAACAGGGUUUUCUUGUUACCAUAAUUCAAAUCUUGACUUCAAAGAGUCAAUAUACUAACCUUAAGAACACCCUAACCACAUAUUUCCUACCUUUGAGACAUUUAAGAGUCUAAGAUGUAUGUUUUUUGUCUAAGCUUCAAAUUUUUGUGAGGUAAAAAGCAGAGGGCUGUCUUAUCAGGAGCCCUUAAUUCCCACCCUAGUGUUAAAACAUGAAAAUGUACUCCCACAGGGCUGUUAGCUUUUACCUGCUGCGAGUAUAACUCACUUAGAAAACAAUAUAGUCCUCCCAAUGACCAAUUCCAGCAUCAUAAAUGUUUAAGGGAGUGGAAAAUGAACCAAUUUACAGUUCUGUUCAGCGGUCAAAUGUGCAGGGCAGUGAUUGGAGGAGGUGAAAGAGAGGGAGGGGAUGUGGGAGGAAUUUUGAGUGACACAAAGUGAUACAGAGUCUGCACAGUGAACAGUGUGCUGAGCUGAGCUGAACUGAAAUGGUACAAGCAGACCAUAAACUGGAGACUGGCACCUGCUGCUGAAAGUCUUUAAAAUAAGCUUGAGUCAAACAAAAAGGAAGUUUGGCUCACAGAGGAUCAUCUGCAAAGUUCGAGAAAGGCCGAUCCUGCUGGAAGAGCAAAGAUGUUUUAUCACUAUAAGCAAUUUGAAUGCAUAUAAAAGUACAAGAUGGAAGUACUAUCUGCUCCACCUCCUUCCUCAACUCUCCAUGCUGCAUUAUAAUUCAGUUUAGUUCUGUAUUUGAUGAGGAAGUUUAGCUAUCUUUUUAACAUAUUGAAAAUAUUGCGAAUUGCUAAAUUCAUUGUUUUUGUAUUUUUGCUUUUACAGCAGUCCUAUUGGUGGUAUAUGGAAGAGUAGCCUUUUAUUUUACUUACUUGUUUUCUGCUGUUUUAGGUUGGGUAGUUAAGUAAGAUGUUUGUAUUUUAUUUCAGUUAUUUUGAAGAGGAAGGGUAAAGAGAUAUUUUAUAUUUUUAUAGAUAUUUAUUAAAAGACUAUUCGAACCCCCAUAUCUUUUUUCAAUCAACGUAGGCUGUGAUCGGAAAAUUAUCCAAAUGAUCUAUUCUUUAACAGGUUUGAUUUGGUUAUCCACAAGAAAAGAAAAAAGGGGGCAAAACUCUAAAACUGCUACUAGAGAGUUAAAUAGAUCCAUUAUUCAACAGAUGUGGACACUUCAUUGCUCUUAAAAAUAUGUGACUCAGCAGUGGCUGAGGAUCAAUGAGACAAUGUUCAUAAAACUGUAAAAUAAGUAAUUGAAAAUCUUAAAAAACAUCAUUUUUAAUAUUGGUUAAGUUCAUGUUUAGUGAUUUAAAACCUGCAGGUGUUCUCAGAUCCUCAGACUGCAGCUGUGACUAAAGGCUGACUCAUCCUUGUGUAGCUGUAUUCAUAAAGCUUACUACAAAGAAGUGCUCCUCAGGAUGAAACUCCAAGGAGACUUACCCAUGACAUUUUCUGGGAAUUUCCCCCCUAAGGUUCAGACUAAAUCCUGGUAAAGAUUAAAGUUACUCUCAAAGUCUCUUAGCCCCAGAAAGUUUCUAAGGCAAAAAAAAAAAAUUAAAAAAAAAAUGUUAGGGGUAGUGAGGAGGAGUUUUAUGCGUUUUCAGUUCUCAAGCAGAGGGGAAAGUGGUGGAAAGACCAGUAAUGACCAGAGGUCAAUUAAACUGCACUGACUGGAUCAUGCAGUGAUCAAGUCUCUGUUCACAUCUCCAAACCAACACAACAGCACAAACUCACCAGAGAGGAAAAUGAUCAGAUUUUAGGGUAUUUUACAAGUAGUAAAAUACAACUUGAAAAAAUGCAGCAGUUUCACGCUCGAUUAUGUUCUGUGGAUGAUCAGAGAGAGACAGAACAGCUGACGUUUCUGUCUGAUUGUCUACAGAGGGGUUCAAAGCAGGUGCAGAUAGCACACUGAUCAAUCAGUCAAUCAUAAAAGGUGAUCAUAUGGGUAAAAGUGGUGGUGAAACACUGGAAAAAGCAAGGGCUAGAUGUGCACCAUUAAAAUCAUCUAAAGAUUCCAGCUUCUUUGUUUGCAUGUUGGAUGAAGUUGUGCAUGAAAAAGCAUCAAGCACUUCAUUUUGAUAUGCACAGAGCUGUUACAUAGGUCUAAAGUGUGGAUGAAGUAGUAGUUGUUCCCUAUCAUGAUUAAUCCUGUAUGGAGGAAACUAAAACUUGUUCUAAAAGCAAAAUUGAAAUCAAAAGAAUUAAAGGUACGUUGCGUAGAAUUUCGCAGCAUUUUCCCAAAGACAUGGAAUACAUUAAGUAGUUUGUUUAAAUAAGUUUAUACCAAAUGGAAUAUCAUGAUCAUUUCAUGUCUGAUUAUCUAGAGUGAAAUCUGUUGUAGUUGUUGCCUUUGAUGGUAAAAACCUGACGAAUAGAGUAUCAAACUUAUCAUGAAUCAAUGGAACAUGAAUCUGAGUAUACAUAAAAAAAAGACAUCUUUUGAGCAGGUACUGGGAUGGUGGUGGCCGUUCUCUGAGUGGGCACUGGAGUUGCCACAAUGGGCGCUGACACAAGAGUCGACAGGGCCUCCAACAAAGGAGCAGGAGUUAGCUGGUUAUAAGGGCUGUUAACAAAGGCCUUCAGACACUCACAGACAAAAAGUCCUUUGGACAAGGUUUCUUGGCAACAUUUUACGCCAUCUUGAGCACUACCUAAUCUCAGCCCCGUUUCAAAGUCAUACAAACUAGCUCCAGUCCCUGUAAACUAAAAAAAUGUCCAAUCCUCGUGAAUGGUCAGAAAGAUCCAUCCUUAGUCAGAUCCUCCUGCUUGUGAAACACAAACAAAAAUGGAAGGACUCAGCAGAAAAGGCAACAAAACAAAAGGCAACAUAAAAACACAAGGACACAUGUUUGACAAUGGUCUGACCAUAGACUGUAUAUAGAAUGAACGCCGUCUGCCUCCUAACUAGGUGGAGCCAUCCCAUUUUUUAAAAGUUAUUAGCGGGUUCAUGUUUUCUAUGAUUGACACUUGAUACAGCCUAUGGGCAUACGGAAAUUACAUUGCUCACCCGGUGGGCACGUUGUUUGAGCAGAGCGUCAUCACAGCGACUCUCGGCGACUGUCCUGCCGAAAGCGUACAACGCUACUGCGCAAUGUUGGUUUCAGGAAAUGGAGAAAAAGAAAAAGGAGAAAUACUGAGAGCUUUUUGACUUCAAAUUCAUAUACUGGCAGAAGGUGAAACCAAGUUGUCCAUAGUUUAUCCAGUCUGAGUCUGACACAGAGGGUAGGCAACAGACUUAAUACACACAAGAGAGGGAGAACACAGAAAGUUAGACCACACACAAGGAGAGAGAACAACAACUAAAGCAGGAACCACUGAAAACUGACCUGAAGAAUAAAGUCGUAAAAACACAGAGGGGAACAGGAACAUGAGGAUGAUGGAUCAAUACACACAGAGAAAUGGCUGCGAAAAUAAAGACAAGAAAAAACUCAAAACACAUGAACUCAUCAUGACAAGACAGACAAUCAAACCAUGAGGACAACAAUACCAAGGCAGUCAGAAAAUUGAUCUCCAAUCGAUUCAUUCUGGUGUAGAAAUCCAACUUUGAGAGGUUUGAUUUAGAGUGAUUUCAGUCAGUAAUGUGUUUACAUGUUUUUUCAAUGGUCCAGUUUUAGUCACACUAAGGCGAUAAAUGGACUUUUGAACCACAUGAAAACUUAGUGACUGUUAGGAAAAGGUGACCGAAACGGAGAUUUUUAAUGAUUUCAUAUAGCACUUUAUCAGAGACUCUUAAAGCGCUUCACAUUGGAUAUAUCCAAGGACACAACAGACAGACUACAGAUAGGGUGGGGAUGGAGCUGCCAACCCUCCAGUUAUUGGACAACCUCUCUACCGCCUAAGCUACUGUCGCCCCUAUGAGAGAUGUUGAACCUAUCUAUCUAUCUAUCUAUCUAUCUAUCUAUCUAUCUAUCUAUCUAUCUAUCUAUCUAUCUAUCUAUCUAUCUAUCUAUCUAUCUAUCUAUCUACCUACCUACCUACCUACCUAUCUAUCUAUCUACCUACCUACCUACCUAUCUAUCUUCCUACCUACCUACCUACCUACCUACCUACCUGAUGUAAUUUAGUCUUGAAUGGUUUGUUGUGUGUUUGUCUUCCUCUAUCGUCUGUGUUUUCUCUUUUUUCUCUCUUGUUUUUCCAGAGCAGCUGUGGAGCUGGGGUUGAGUCGGUGCUGAAGUCCGCUGUAAUGCUCCUAACCUUCAUUUGACUGGAGGAUUUGCUGCCUGCCAACUGCCUCAUGAAAGGUUUGUUGUCACUGCCUGAUAUUGUGUGCUGUCUGGAGCUGAGUCCAUUGUUGUGCCGAUAGAAGGGGAUCUGUGAAGGACUGAUCUGUGCUCUCACUCUUCCAUCAAAACAACACUGUCUGUGCUGUGAGGUGACUGUUAUCACUCAGAGAAAUGUCCACAAAGACAAACACAGACUGAACCAGCAAACCUUUUAGGGUUAAUGUUCUGCUUUUUUUUUAUUAUUACAGCUGCUCCGAGCUGAG